RNAcentral lists this ribosomal RNA (255 nucleotides) under uncultured bacterium. RNAcentral's name for it is "partial 16S ribosomal RNA". It matches the Rfam family "Bacterial small subunit ribosomal RNA", at positions 524 to 776 of the family's 1533-position model. The record is from RNAcentral.
UACGUAGGGGUGCACGUUGUCCGGAAUUAUUGGGCGUAAAGAGCUCGUAGGCGGUCUGUCGCGUCUGCUGUGAAAACGCGAGGCUUAACCUCGCGCCUGCAGUGGGUACGGGCAGACUAGAGUGCGGUAGGGGAGACUGGAAUUCCUGGUGUAGCGGUGGAAUGCGCAGAUAUCAGGAGGAACACCGAUGGCGAAGGCAGGUCUCUGGGCCGUUACUGACGCUGGAGGAGCGGAAAAGCAUGGGGAGCGAACAGG